GACGAACGCUGGCGGCGUGCUUAACACAUGCAAGUCGAACGAAGAGCGACGGAAGCUUGCUUCUAUCAAUCUUAGUAGCGAACGGGUGAGUAACGCGUAAUCAACCUGCCCUUCAGAGGGGGACAACAGUUGGAAACGACUGCUAAUACCGCAUACGAUCUAAUCUCGGCAUCGAGGAUGGAUUAAAGGCUGCCUCUACAUGUAAGCUAUCACUGAAGGAGGGGAUUGCGUCUGAUUAGCGAGUUGGAGGGGUAACGGCCCACCAAGGCGAUGAUCAGUAGCCGGUCUGAGGGGAUGAACGGCCACAUUGGGACUGAGACACGGCCCAGACUCCUACGGGAGGCAGCAGUGGGGAAUCUUCCGCAAUGGACGAAAGUCUGACGGAGCAACGCCGCGUGAGUGAUGACGGCCUUCGGGUUGUAAAGCUCUGUUAAUCGGGACGAAAGGCCUUCUUGCGAAUAGUGAGAAGGAUUGACGGUACCGGAAUAGAAAGCCACGGCUAACUACGUG
RNAcentral lists this ribosomal RNA (510 nucleotides) under uncultured bacterium. RNAcentral's name for it is "partial 16S ribosomal RNA". It matches the Rfam family "Bacterial small subunit ribosomal RNA", at positions 28 to 507 of the family's 1533-position model. The record is from RNAcentral.